AUGCUUCAUCGUCAUCGGAUAGGAUGCACAUGGCAUGGCGCGACACCACACGCCCUCCGUGGAAGGGAGAAGAUGGAGAAACAGAGAAAGCCAUGUCCUUCCCCGGCAUGUGGCCCGGAGUUGUUGCCGACACACCGCAGGGCGGACCCGAGAUGCUCUGCCUGUCAUGUUACCUCCACGUCCGGUCUCCUACCGCUACCAGCCCACCACGCCCGUGCCCCGCCUCGCGCCGCCUGCCGCGCCACUGCGGCCUCCGUCCGCCACAGCGCCACUCUGUUUCUCUGCUUGAACUGCAAUUUUGAGGAGUAG
Molecule: ribosomal RNA, 309 nt
Filed under: Triticum aestivum (bread wheat)
Lineage: Eukaryota; Viridiplantae; Streptophyta; Magnoliopsida; Poales; Poaceae
Description: partial small subunit ribosomal RNA
Source: RNAcentral